This 3764-nucleotide long non-coding RNA is filed under the name Sorghum bicolor (sorghum). RNAcentral's name for it is "long non-coding RNA (SBIC_LNC014344)". The record is from RNAcentral. Lineage: Eukaryota; Viridiplantae; Streptophyta; Magnoliopsida; Poales; Poaceae.
CGGAUUGUUGUGGUAGCCCUAGGGUAGUGACAGCCCUAUCGGUCGACGUAUUCCACCUCGUUCGGAUCUGUGUUUGUAGGACCGUAGUCGGAGCUUCCUAGCCCCCUUCUCAUCUCUUUCUGUGGUUAGUGUUCUGAUGUCCCGAAAUAGAUAAUCUUGAAGUAAUUCUUGAUUCUUAGAUCAACUAGAGAACUCUCAGGAAACUUCCUCUCUUCCCACCAAAAAUACUUAUAUAGUUAUCCUUGGGCGAUCUUGAUUCUUAAUUAGUACAAUCACAUUCUCUGUGGAAAAUCGAUACUCUGGAAUACUCCUGGGUGAAGGCUACAUCGGUAUCCGUGCGCGUGCGGAUUUUUCUGUUUGCGUUUAAAAUACCCAACAAUCAUUUACCCAUGGAUCCGAUGGAUAAACGCUAUACGAUCCUAAGCAUGUAUAUAGAUCCAAUCUAACUAAGCCAAGUACAUAACUAUGAUAAACUGAGAACAAUAUAAUCUUGAAUAUAAGCAAGUAGAGCAAAGACAUAAGCAAUAUAUUGAAGGAGAACAAAAUCAUAUUCAUAAUAUUGAAGAACAAAGAUAAUUAGAAGAACAAUUAGAAGCACAAUUAGAGAAUUACCAAGAAUCCUCUUGACAGAUCCGGAAACUAAUCGAAGAUUGACUCCUUCUAGUUCUAAUCCUAUGUAGCUAUGCUAAUCUAGAUAUCUAAUUGAUGCGGUGGCUCUAAUCUUGAUCAGAGGCUUCUUCUCCCUUGAAGAACAAUGAAUUAGGGUUGAGAGGCUCUCUCCUCCAGGGGCCAGGGGGUCUGGUUUUAUAGUCCCUUCAAGUGAAUAUGGGCCGUUGGAUCAAACUGACAUAGAUUGAACGGUUAUCCUUGAUCCUUUAGGUCAGUGGAGAUCUCCUGAGAAACAGAGUCCUGAUUGGACUCCAACAGAGGGCGGGCGCCUAGGGAAACAUGGCGGGCGCCCUACCUCUGGCCCCGUUCGGCCUUCGCUUCCUUCCCGUGGCUUCUGGAGUCUUCUAGAUGUAAGAUAAUUGCGCGGCACGUUAAUAUCUCUAUGUAAUCCCGACGUGUGGGCCUUUCUUCUGUAUUUUCUGAUAACCCCCUGCAGAAAUAGACAAACACCAAAACUCGUGGAAUUCUGUCAGAUAAAACCCUAAGUCUAGAUGUUGAUUUCAUUUGAAUCCUUUUCUUUGUUUAUUUGAUAAUUAAAUUUGAUACUUAAGGACCGUCAACAAACUCCCCCAAGUUUACCUCUUGCUCGUCACUAAGCAAGGAUAGUCUCAGUGAUGGAUUAGAAGUUGCAGCAAUACUUUUAAAAAUUGACGGUACACAUGCUUUUUUAAAUAAGAUCUCAUCUCUAAGUUAGAGUAAACUGUCAAGACUUAAAACUUACUUACUUUACCUUUCACCAUGGGACUUGUAACCGUCACUUCCAUCUUGAGUAGUUAAAAGAUAGAACAGUCUAGCCAAGUGCCAUGUCUCUUAUUCUUGAUCAGCUAUAGCUCUGGAGUUUUUGCAGAUUUUCAAAUAAAACUCAGAGAUUCCUUGUAUGACUCUCUUAGAUCUCUCUUUUGUGGUAUUUUUGGAUCCUUACCAAGGCAUUGAUGGUAUAUGCCUUCUCUCAAGAUAUGUAGUAUUUGUGGUAUAAGGCAUAGUGACAUUGCCUUCUCUCUCACCCUACUCUAAUAAGGCUUUAAUAUCUGGAGCUCAUAGGUGGGAGAUAAAGAAUACAUACUUACAAGACAUUUAUUGCAUAGUCAAACCAUGGAUCCAAAGAAACAAAUCAAUCAGUCAAAUCAAGAUGUGCAUGUGUGGCGAAUGAAUAGUGUGUGAUGACGAUGGUGAAAACAAAGGUGAAAGUCUAAUUCUACUUUUGCUCUUUUGAGGGGAUACAUACCUUUCUUGCUCUUUGAAACUUGUGAGGAGUAUGAGAUGCUCUAUAUUUUUCUUUUCUCUCAGGUGGGUAUCUUGUACCUCUGAUUCUACUGUCGGACACUUUUUCAUUUUUACCUCUUGUCUCACUUUUUCUUUUCUUUCGAGGUUCCGGGCACUUGCCCUUUUUGUUUCCUCGUAUCUUUUUUUUUCUCUUUUUUUUAGAGCACUCAUCUCUUGAGAUAAUAUAGCAAGUGGUAGUAACAAGAUAACUUGAGCAUUUAUUUCACAGGGGAAAAACAGAAAUAUAUUUUUUUUUGCUAUUCUCUCCCGAAUUAGGAGUAGACUAUUUUUGGAUGAUUCUGGAGAUGGAAAUGAGUGGAUAUAUGUGGAUGGUACUUCCGGAGUAGAAGUAGCAUAUAUGAGUGAACGUGCAAGUGAAAUCUUGAUUUAACCACAUGACAAGCUCCUAAGGGUCUACACAGCUUGACCACACUCAAUGCUCAUAAGCAGUAAAUAAUAAAUGUUUGGCUCAAAGUCUAGCAAGCAUGUAUAUAUGGCUGUGGUAGGAAUUUAAACUCUCAUCAUACAGGAACACAUCAUGCAAUAUUUUAAUGAUUUUCAAAGAUAAAAUUCUCCAGAAUUCUAGCAUCUCUAGGAACAGAUAAACAGCAGCUCAACCUUCCCAUAUCGUAUCCGUUAACAACUUGGACUUCAGAUCAAGUUUUCAUCCCACAAGUUAAGGUCUAGAGCAAGCUUUAAAUUAUAACAGUUAUAUCUAAACUUGAGAGAGAACUUCAAAUUUUAAAAUUAGGCAGAGCAACUAUUCAUCAUAUCCAUGCUAGAGUUCUAUUUAGAUACAGAUUAGCAUAGCCACUUUGUUUAUUUAUUAAACACACUAAGCAAAAGAUAUAUAUAAGCUCAAAAUCUUUAUUUGGUUUUUCAUAGUUUAUGUAUAUUUAUAUUCUAAUAUAAUAUAAGUGUAAAGAUAGAUAGAAAUACUUAUCGAGAUAAGUGGGGGUGCUCUCCCCCAAGCUGAAUUUUGACGUAAUUUCUCUUGAUGUAGCUAGCAGGUGGCAGAGUUGUAUUUGAAAGUCAGCAGCAUUCUGACAGUGAUUAGAACAUCCUCCGUCUGCUAGUCUUCUUGAUUCUUGAAUUCUGUGGAGCUCAAAUAGACAACAAAGCUUGUGGAACUGAUUAAGUGUUAGCAUAAAUAUCUAGCCUUUAUCAUGUUGAGACUCCUUAAUAAAUAUUACUCCCUGUUUUUAUAUUUUCGUUUUGUAAAGCAGAAAAGAAAUAUUUAUUUUAUUUUUAUGCCACCACAGUGAAUGUACUUAUGGGUUUUAUGCCACUCGUAUACUCACAUGGGGCUUGCUGUCUUUAACAUUUUUAUUUUCUUUUUAGGAUAGUAUGAACCUGAUUAACUAAGCAAACUGUUUAAAAUAAUUGAAAGGGAAAGAAUAAUUACCAAGUUUACCUCUUGGCAAGGCGUUCGGUGUUUUUAAGUCCUCCGAACAUGACUCUUCUCUUUCUCAAUUGUCCUGAGGUUCGUUGGGUGGCGUAGUCGGUACUUCCGGCGGCGCCUCCUCUUCAUGUAUAGUUAUCUUCUCUUUCCAUACCUGACUCAGUGCUACGGUCUCCUCUGAAUAAUUCUGUUUAAACUCUACGUCUUCUGACCUUACAACUUCUCCUUCAUAAUGUUGACGGUCCUUAAGUAUCAAAUUUAAUUAUCAAAUAAAUAAAGAAAAGGACCCAAAUGAAAUCAACAUCUAGACUUAGGGUUUUAUCUGACAGAAUUCCACGAGUUUUGGUGUUUGUCUAUUUCUGCAGGGGGUUAUCAGGAAAUAUGGAAGAAAGGCCCACAUGUUAGGAUUACGUGAAGAUAUUAACGUGCU